RNAcentral lists this ribosomal RNA (599 nucleotides) under Oxalobacteraceae bacterium RM12EL_02F. Its description in RNAcentral is "bacterial SSU rRNA". It matches the Rfam family "Bacterial small subunit ribosomal RNA", at positions 874 to 1477 of the family's 1533-position model. The record is from RNAcentral. Lineage: Bacteria; Pseudomonadati; Pseudomonadota; Betaproteobacteria; Burkholderiales; Oxalobacteraceae.
UGGGGAGUACGGUCGCAAGAUUAAAACUCAAAGGAAUUGACGGGGACCCGCACAAGCGGUGGAUGAUGUGGAUUAAUUCGAUGCAACGCGAAAAACCUUACCUACCCUUGACAUGGCAGAAAUCCCUGAGAGAUUGNGGAGUGCUCGAAAGAGAAUCUGCACACAGGUGCUGCAUGGCUGUCGUCAGCUCGUGUCGUGAGAUGUUGGGUUAAGUCCCGCAACGAGCGCAACCCUUGUCAUUAGUUGCUACGAAAGGGCACUCUAAUGAGACUGCCGGUGACAAACCGGAGGAAGGUGGGGAUGACGUCAAGUCCUCAUGGCCCUUAUGGGUAGGGCUUCACACGUCAUACAAUGGUACAUACAGAGCGCCGCCAACCCGCGAGGGGGAGCUAAUCGCAGAAAGUGUAUCGUAGUCCGGAUUGUAGUCUGCAACUCGACUGCAUGAAGUUGGAAUCGCUAGUAAUCGCGGAUCAGCAUGUCGCGGUGAAUACGUUCCCGGGUCUUGUACACACCGCCCGUCACACCAUGGGAGCGGGUUUUACCAGAAGUAGGUAGCUUAACCGCAAGGAGGGCGCUUACCACGGUAGGAUUCGUGACUG